CCUACGGGUGGCAGCAGUGGGGAAUCUUGGUCAAUGGGCGCAAGCCUGAACCAGCGACGCCGCGUGAGUGAUGAAGGCCUUCGGGUUGUAAAGCUCUGUGGGGAGGGACGAAAGACUGAGGUCUAAUAGGCUUCAGGUUGACGGUACCUCCUUAGCAAGCACCGGCUAACUCUGUGCCAGCAGCCGCGGUAAGACAGAGGGUGCAAACGUUGCUCGGAAUCACUGGGCGUAAAGGGCGUGUAGGCGGGAAGGUAAGUCGGGCGUGAAAUCCCCAAGCUCAACUUGGGAACUGCACUCGAAACUACCUUUCUUGAGUGUCGGAGAGGAAAGCGGAAUUCCUGGUGUAGAGGUGAAAUUCGUAGAUAUCAGGAGGAACACCAGUGGCGAAGGCGGCUUUCUGGACGAUAACUGACGCUGAGACGCGAAAGCGUGGGGAGCAA
This 440-nucleotide ribosomal RNA is filed under the name uncultured bacterium. Its description in RNAcentral is "bacterial SSU rRNA". It matches the Rfam family "Bacterial small subunit ribosomal RNA", at positions 338 to 771 of the family's 1533-position model. The record is from RNAcentral.